CCUACGGGAGGCAGCAGUAGGGAAUCUUUCACAAUGGGGGAAAGCCUGAUGGAGCAACGCCGCGUGCAGGAUGAAGGACUUCGGUAUGUAAACCGCUAUUAUAAGCGAGGAAUAUGAUGGUAACUUAUGAAUAAGGCUCGGCUAACUACGUGCCAGCAGCCGCGGUCAUACGUAGGGUGCGAGCAUUAUCCGGAGUUACUGGGUGUAAAGAGGUGCGUAAGGGGCAAGAUAAGUAGCGAGGGAAACCUGUUGGGUAAACCAUGCAGACUGUUAGAGAAACUGUGAAGCUCGAGAGCGAUAGGGGUAAGCGGAAUUCCUAGUGUAGGGGUGAAAUCCGUAGAUAUUAGAAGGAACACCAGUGGCGAAGGCGAGUUACUGGGACGGUUCUGACACUAAGGCACGAAAGCGUAGGGAGCAAACGGGAUUAGAUACCCUAGUAGUC
Molecule: ribosomal RNA, 442 nt
Filed under: uncultured bacterium
Lineage: Bacteria
Description: partial 16S ribosomal RNA
Rfam family: Bacterial small subunit ribosomal RNA
Source: RNAcentral